AUUGAACGCUGGCGGCAUGCCUUACACAUGCAAGUCGAACGGCAGCACGGGGGCAACCCUGGUGGCGAGUGGCGAACGGGUGAGUAAUACAUCGGAACGUGCCCCGUAGCGGGGGACAACCAGUCGAAAGACUGGCUAAUACCGCAUACGCUCCACGGAGGAAAGCAGGGGAUCGCAAGACCUUGCACUAUGGGAGCGGCCGAUGCCCGAUUAGCUAGUUGGUGAGGUAAAGGCUCACCAAGGCAACGAUCGGUAGCUGGUCUGAGAGGACGACCAGCCACACUGGGACUGAGACACGGCCCAGACUCCUACGGGAGGCAGCAGUGGGGAAUUGUUCGCAAUGGGCGCAAGCCUGACGACGCAACGCCGCGUGGAGGACGAAGAUCUUCGGGUCGUAAACUCCUGUCGAGCGGGACGAAUGGCCCGCGGAUGAAUAAUCCGCGGGAGUGACGGUACCGCGAGAGGAAGCCCCGGCUAACUCCGUGCCAGCCGCCGCU
RNAcentral lists this ribosomal RNA (497 nucleotides) under uncultured bacterium. RNAcentral describes it as "bacterial SSU rRNA". It matches the Rfam family "Bacterial small subunit ribosomal RNA", at positions 29 to 519 of the family's 1533-position model. The record is from RNAcentral.